RNAcentral lists this non-coding RNA (73 nucleotides) under uncultured Intestinimonas sp. Its description in RNAcentral is "Glycine riboswitch". It matches the Rfam family "Glycine riboswitch aptamer", at positions 7 to 88 of the family's 94-position model. From Rfam's summary of the family: This family represents the bacterial glycine riboswitch. Glycine riboswitches usually consist of two metabolite-binding aptamers domains with similar structures in tandem. Lineage: Bacteria; Bacillati; Bacillota; Clostridia; Eubacteriales. The record is from RNAcentral.
GGUAUCGGGAGAGACCGCCCAGGCGGCGCCGAAGGGGACUGGCAGGGAAACUCUCAGGCAAACGUACCGGUAC